AUGCGGGUGUGGCGUCCUCUUAAUAAUAAACGGUAACGAAACGUCCGUGGGCUCAUUUUUUUUACUGGGACGAAACGUACACGAUUCCUUUUUGCCGCCCGAAAACGGAACAAUAAUAACUUGAUUAAUGCCUCGUACCACCGCCUCCUUAUUAGCGGUCGAUUAUAUAAUAAUUGGGCCUUCGGUAAUGCAACGCAAUACGACGUAUUGCUAUCGAAAUGAUAAAACAUGUUGUAAAAUGCAUCGUAUUUUCAAGCAUUCUGAAAUUCAGCACAUCGAAUGCCUUGAUGUAUCGGAACACCGUAGGUUUCAAUCAUAACCAUGGUCUAACCCGAUCUGAUGGAUUAUAUGCGCUUAAAAAUCACUGAUAAGGCCCGUUAUCACUAACGAAUAAAUUAAUAGGUGUUCAGAACACCGUGUUCUGGAAAUAAAGUGAUUUUUACCGAUUUCAUGACGUAGCGUACUGUAUUUCCAUCAAGAAUCGCAGCGUUGCAUUACCGAAGGCGCAAUAAUAAAUAUUGAUAUCCGCGUAUAAUCGCAUAUUAUAAUUUGUAACGUUGUGUUCAUUAGCCAGUCAAACGAAAUACGCCGAUACGUUGAGUCGUCGCGAGCAGUGCGAUUUUUUUUUGUCAAAUUAUUAUCGUAGGCGCGAAUCGCCGUUGUUUUAUUAUUAAUUUAAUAAUUAUUAUUGAUGGGCGCGAAUUGCUACCAUUACUGUUUUUUUUUUUAUUAUCGUAGGUAAUUGUGGCACACGAAAAUCGUCGUGCGUUACUGUGAUCACUAUAAUCCACCUCUAAUAGCCAGAUUAUAGCAUUCUCUGUAUUUCGCCGCCAUAAAAGGUCAUAAUAUUGUCAUACUUAUUUAUUUCGAUUGCUAAGCGUCGUAGUGUAUUUUUAUUAUUGUUAUUAUUGUGAACCAUAUUAUAGGCGUAAGGAGUUGACUUGCUGGCCAGUCUGCGCUCCUUAAUUUAUACUAGAAGAAGUUGUGGCUGACAAAUUCCUAACCUUAUCAUCUGAACAGGUCGUUAAGUUGGUCUCCAGUUAUGAGCUUACUGUUCCAUCUGAAGAAAAAGAGUUGUUGCAAUCUGGUUUAUUGUAUGUCGUCAUUGGAAGUAAUGAAAUAUGUCGUGGUUUGAUGUCUGUAGAAUUUUACAGUCCCCACACCAAUACCUAGAAACGUCAAUGAAUGUAUGAAAACAUCUUCCAAGAAUAGAAGUCAUUGAUGGGCCAACUCAUUUUUCAAAUUUGUUAUUGUACAUGAUUUUUUUUUCUGUAAUUAUAAC
This 1282-nucleotide unclassified non-coding RNA is filed under the name Acyrthosiphon pisum (pea aphid). Its description in RNAcentral is "ring canal kelch protein-like, transcript variant X2". The record is from RNAcentral. Lineage: Eukaryota; Metazoa; Arthropoda; Insecta; Hemiptera; Aphididae.